Molecule: ribosomal RNA, 793 nt
Filed under: uncultured bacterium
Lineage: Bacteria
Description: bacterial SSU rRNA
Rfam family: Bacterial small subunit ribosomal RNA
Source: RNAcentral
AACUUAGUAAGGAUCCUUCGGGUGAAAAACUAAGUGGAAAGUAGCGGACGGGUGAGUAACGCGUGGGAAACCUGCCUUAUACAGGGGAAUAGCCUCGGGAAACCGGGAUUAAUGCCCCAUAAAGCUCUAGUAUGGCAUCAUACAUGAGUCAAAGCUCCGGCGGUAUAAGAUGGUCCCGCGUCCCAUUAGCUAGUUGGUAAGGUAAAGGCUUACCAAGGCGACGAUGGGUAGCCGGCUUGAGAGAGUGAACGGCCACACUGGAACUGAGACACGGUCCAGACUCCUACGGGAGGCAGCAGUGGGGAAUAUUGCACAAUGGGGGAAACCCCGAUGCAGCGACGCCGCGUGAGCGAAGAAGGCCUUCGGGUCGUAAAGCUCUGUCCUAAGGGAAGAUAAUGACGGUACCUUAGGAGGAAGCCCCGGCUAACUACGUGCCAGCAGCCGCGGUAAUACGUAGGGGGCAAGCGUUAUCCGGAAUUACUGGGCGUAAAGGGUGCGUAGGCGGCCAAUUAAGUCAGAUGUUAAAGGCUACGGCUCAACCGUAGUAAGCAUUUGAAACUGGUUGGCUUGAGUACAGGAGAGGAAAGUGGAAUUCCUAGUGUAGCGGUGAAAUGCGUAGAUAUUAGGAGGAACACCAGUGGCGAAGGCGACUUUCUGGACUGUAACUGACGCUGAGGCACGAAAGCGUGGGGAGCGAACAGGAUUAGAUACCCUGGUAGUCCACGCCGUAAACGAUGAGUGCUAGGUGUUGGGGGUCGAACCUCAGUGCCGAAGUUAACACAUUAAGCACUCC